RNA transcript from Salvia miltiorrhiza (redroot sage), 1414 nucleotides. It is a transcript of the gene named general transcription and DNA repair factor IIH helicase subunit XPB-like, with no coding region annotated. NCBI's taxonomy places the organism in Eukaryota, Viridiplantae, Streptophyta, Magnoliopsida, Lamiales, Lamiaceae. The record is from RefSeq and is a predicted model, not a curated record. The transcript has 5 exons.
AAACUACAAGCCUUAGUUCUGUUCGUCUCUCUCAUCUAAUCUCUCUGCCUUCUCCUGCGUCCUCCCUGUCUCUCGACUCUCUCUCUCUCCCCUCUCGACUCCGCCGCCGGCGCCGCUGCCCCGCGCAGGCCCGUCGCCGCCCACCCUCGCUGCUGCCCCGCGCCCACCCACCCUCGCUGUUGCCUCGCGCCCGCCCACCCUUGUCGCUGCAUCGCACCGCUGCCGCCUCGGCGCUUUCCUCCUCCGCGCAGUCGCCACUCUGCCUGCCGCCUCGGCGCUUUCCCACGGCUCAAAAACCCUAGCCGUCGUUCUGCCUGCGACGGCCGUUUUCGCCGCUCUGCCUGCAGUCGCGCUAGGCGCUGUGCCCAGCCAAAUCUUCUAUGCUCAAGCCCCUGCCUCUCUCAAUCUCUCUCGCCUCCGGCCUUUCUCUGUCGUCCGACGGUCCAUGUUGCCCCUGCUUCCUCUGUACGUCGACUAUGGCGCCCACUGCUGCAAGCACCUGGCGAUUGUGCCUCCGUCGACCGACCUUCCACCUCCUCCGGCCUCUGUCUCAAUUGGGUGACUCCGCAGCAGAAGCAAUUGACAACAGCAGAUGAAGCCUCAGGACACGGUGGCAGGAGGUGAGGAAGAGUACAAUGCAUUUUUCUACUCUCUCGUAUCUACAGACACUCAGGAAUGUAUUAUUCAACAAAAAGGCAGCAGUUUUUGAUCGAUCAAUGUUAUAGUUUUAAGGUGCUGAUCUUGUUGGAAAGGUUGAAAGAAACAUCCCUGAAGAUGACCCCAGAAAUCCGGUUGUAAGAUAUCUGCUAUGCUUUUUGGUUGAUAGCUCUGUUUUGAAGUUAAUUCUAGUCACAUUUUGCAGGUCAUUGCUGACAAUGUUGGUGAUAAUGUCGGAGAUAUUGCUGGAAUGGGAUCUGAUCUUUUUGGUUCAUAUGCCGAAUCCUCUUGUGCUGCUCUUGUUAUCCGUUGCAACUCUAAUAAGAUAAAGUUCAGUGCAGUUUUAGCAGCAGCCGGAUUAAUUGCUUGUCAUGCCUCAAAAAGGUUCCCUGAUGAACAGUGGGAGAAGUAUGCAGUUGUAACUCUCAUGGAUUGCCGGUCUGCUCUUGAUCCCGUGCUUAGCAGUCAUCAUAUCUGUAAGUUCUGCUGGAUUCACUAUUAAAGUUGAGAACUGUGCAAAUUGCGAAGAUUCCCUUUCCUAGAUGAUGUUAAAAGAAAAAUAGAUGACUUAUAAGUUGGCAUUCGUGAAUGUAUUAAUGAAAUAUGAAUGAAGCAGAAACAACAGAUCCUUGAACAUGCUAUAUAACACUCUUUAAUACGUCAUUCUUUUUCUGAUCCUUCCACCCUAGAUUCUAGUACACUCAUCGAUAAGUCGUCAUGAUUCAUGAGUAUAUCAAUGUUUAAUGUCAUCAGUCGA